CGGAGUCCUUGCUGUUGGUGAUGUCCUUAAGGACAUGCGGCGGCCCCGCAGCACACUUUCAAAGUAGAGCAAAGCUGAAGGCUACUAAUAAACGAGAGGUCAGCUAUGGAUACUCGGCUGCGAGAAUUUUUAACAGAGCGCAAAGUUGAAGAAGAUGUGAUCAAGAAACUUGAAGAUGAGAAUAUUGAUGAAACUGUCAUUCCCUUAAUGACAGACAGUGACCUGGCAAAGUACAUCCCCAAAGUUGGCGAUAGAGUCUCCACUGUGGCCUUCUGCAGACAAGCAACACUGUCACGGACGUCACCAUCCAGGAAAGAAUCUAUACUCUCAAGGCUACGACAAAGACUGACAGGAGCUGAGGGAAUGCCUCCUAAAAAGAG
Molecule: long non-coding RNA, 380 nt
Organism: Oreochromis aureus
Lineage: Eukaryota; Metazoa; Chordata; Actinopteri; Cichliformes; Cichlidae
Source: Ensembl